GGAGUUAGCCGGUGCUUCUUCUGUGAGUGAUGUCCUUCCUGCCGGCUAUUAACCCGCAGGCCUUCUUCCUCACUGAAAGUGCUUUACAACCCGAAGGCCUUCUUCACACACGCGGCAUGGCUGGAUCAGGGUUGCCCCCAUUGUCCAAUAUUCCCCACUGCUGCCUCCCGUAGGAGUCUGGGCCGUGUCUCAGUCCCAGUGUGGCUGAUCAUCCUCUCAGACCAGCUACGGAUCGUCGCCUUGGUGAGCCGUUACCUCACCAACCAGCUAAUCCGACAUAGGCUCAUCCGAUAGCGCGAGGCCCGAAGGUCCCCCGCUUUCCCCCGUAGGGCGUAUGCGGUAUUAGCCUGGGUUUCCCCAGGUUAUCCCCCACUACCGGGCAGAUUCCUAUGCAUUACUCACCCGUCCGCCGCUCGCCACCAGGGAGCAAGCUACCCGUGCUGCCGCUCGACUUGCAUGUGUUAGGCCUGCCGCCAGCGUUCAAUCUGAACCAAGAUCAAAUUCUGA
This 507-nucleotide ribosomal RNA is filed under the name uncultured bacterium. RNAcentral's name for it is "partial 16S ribosomal RNA". The record is from RNAcentral.